AGAUACCCCACUAUGCCUAGCCGUAAAAUUAAAUUACACUACCAACGCCAGGGAAUUACGAGCUUAAGCUUAAAACCCAAAGGACUUGACGGUGACCCACCCAUCUAGAGGAGCCUGUUCUAUAAUCGAUAAUCCACGCUAUACCUUACCGUUUCUUGCUUCUCAGCUUGUAUACCUCCGUCGUAAAUUCACCGUUUGAACGAAUAGUAGUGUGUCUGACGACCACCCGCCAAUACGUCAGGUCAAGGUGCAGCUCAUGAAACGGAAAGCAAUGGGCUACAAUUUCUAACAUAGAAUAAACGAAAAACUGUAUGAAACACAGCUAUGAAGGCGGAUUUAGUAGUAAAUGGGGAGUAGAGAGCCCCCUUUAAUCUGGCCCUGGGACAUGUACAAACCGCCCGUCACCCUCUUCGAUAGCCCUAUUUAUCUGCUUCAUAACACAACCUCGCGCCUUAGAAGAGGCAAGUCGUAACAUGGUAAGUGUACUGGAAAGUGCACUUGGAACAACAAAAUGUAGCUUAAUUAAAGCCUCUCGCUUACACCGAGAUAAUGCCUGUUUAAAUCAGACCAUCUUGAGCCUACAAUCCAGCCUAACCAACACAUAUGCACCCCGUAUACUUCUGUUUGACGAUAAAACAUUUUAUUAUUUUAGUAGAGGCGAUCAAAAAAAAUCUUAGAGCCCUAGAUUUAGUACCGCAAGGGAAAGAUGAAAUAAUAAUGAAAUAAACUUAAAGCUUCUAAUAGCAGAGAUUAUCACUUGUACCUUUUGCAUCAUGGUCUAGCAAGUCUUACCAAGCAAAAUGAAAUUUUUAGUUUGACCCCCCGAAACUAAGCGAGCUACUUCAAAACAGCUUUUUAGAGCGAACCCGUCUCUGUAGCAAAAGAGUGGGAUGAUUUUCAAGUAGCAGUGACAAGCCUACCGAGCUUAGAGAUAGCUGGUUAUUCAAGAAAAGAAUAUUAGUUCUACCCUAAAUUUUGUAAUUUCACUAAACAAAUCCAUAAAUUUAGGAGCUAUUCAAGUAAGGCACAACUUACUUGAAACAGGAUACAACCUAACCCAACGGGUAAAAAUUCUUUUUAUUAUGAUAAGUGGGCCUAAAAGCAGCCAUCUUUUAAAAAGCGUUAAAGCUUAGCUAUACUAUACCUCGAUAAUACCACAAAUUAUUUUUAACCCUUCUUCACUAUUGAAUGAAUCCAUACGUAUAUGGAUGACACCAUGCUAGAACUAGUAACNAGAAUUUUUUCUCCAAAAUAUAANUGUAAGCCAAAACCAAUUAAUGGCAUUUAACGAAUAUGAACCUACUGUAGCAACUUUCACUGGAAAACCCUUCAGUAACCCCCGUUAACCUGACACUAGAAUAUUUCUGGAAAGAUUUACAGAGAGAGAAGGAACUCGGCAAAUUUUAACCCCGCCUGUUUACCAAAAACAUCGCCUCUUGAUUAAACAUAAGAGGUCCAGCCUGCCCAGUGACAAAGUUCAACGGCCGCGGUACCCUGACCGUGCGAAGGUAGCAUAAUCACUUGUUCUUUAAAUAGGGACUAGUAUCAACGGCAUCACGAGGGUUACACUGUCUCCUCCCUCUAAUCAGUGAAACUGAUCUCCCCCGUGAAGAAGCGGGGAUUUAAAUAUAAGACGAGAAGACCCCAUGGAGCUUCAAACCCACAGCAACUCUCAACACUUAUACCCCGAUAUAUUAGAGUUAUGCACAACGGUUUUAGGUUGGGGUGACCGCGGAGUAAAAACUAACCUCCACGACGUACAGAACUACUCCUUUAUCCAAGAAUUACUAUUCUAAGAAUCAGCAGACUGACGUAAAAUGACCCGAUAAUCGAUCAACGAACCAAGUUACCCUGGGGAUAACAGCGCAAUCCACUUCAAGAGCCCAUAUCGACAAGUGGGUUUACGACCUCGAUGUUGGAUCAGGGUAUCCCAGUGGUGCAGCCGCUACUAAUGGUUCGU
Molecule: unclassified non-coding RNA, 1960 nt
Filed under: Buergeria buergeri (Buerger's frog)
Lineage: Eukaryota; Metazoa; Chordata; Amphibia; Anura; Rhacophoridae
Description: partial contains 12S ribosomal RNA, tRNA-Val, and 16S ribosomal RNA
Rfam family: Bacterial large subunit ribosomal RNA
Source: RNAcentral